This is a long non-coding RNA of Mustela erminea (ermine), 743 nucleotides long. RefSeq lists it as uncharacterized. The transcript is spliced from 3 exons. The record is from RefSeq and is a predicted model, not a curated record. Lineage: Eukaryota; Metazoa; Chordata; Mammalia; Carnivora; Mustelidae.
ACCCCUAACCCCAGUCUAACCACAGGAAAGACAUCAGAAAGGCCAAGAUUUUGAGGCAUUCUCUGAAACACGUCAUGGAAGACAAGAGAAGAUUGAGAAACCGUCAUAGAACAGAGUGGACUAAGGAGAUACGAUGACUAAAAGAUUGCUGCUGCUGAGUUCACCUCCCCCUCCAGAGAAAGCUGCCCUCAAUGCUAGCUCAGAGGAAAAGGCUUCUGCUGCACUUAGGGUUCAACAACAUCUCUUCCUCUUCAGGUCUCUCCUGCUGUGAGCAAACUAAGACGUUUACUGACCAAAAUUCAACGUGUAGUAGCUAAGCUCAUGGAAUCCGACAAGCCGUGUGACCUUGGGCCAGUUACUCUUGGCACCUCUAUUUCUUCCUCUGGAAAAAGAAAUGAUUGUAAUAGUGCCUACUUCGCUGUGUUGCUCCGAUCAGUAUAAACUGAAUUAAAACACGUGAAGCAGUCAGACUCGGUCCACAUACGGCGUUCCAAGACCCAUGGGUUCCCCCACGGCGGGUGUUCAGCAGACAGAGAGCUAAUUCUUGGUGGAGAAGGAUGGAUCGGCGUGAAGAGGGAGAUUUUGAAGUUUUCCCCACCUGGAGAUAAGCAGGUGUGCUAAUGGACACACUGUCAGCCGCCGAGGCAGGAGAGGAAGGUUCUGGAUCUUCAGUGCGCAGACCGCCCGAGGAGAGUGGCCCAAGUGGUCCCAAUCUGGCAACCAGCACUUAGAUAAACGAGAGA